AAAGGAGUAGUGUAAGUUUAAGGCUAUGCAAAAUCAAGAAACUGAGUUUCAAACAUGUGGUGACAAUUGUUUUUAUAUGUGUUUUUAAAAGCAUCCAGUGCAUGUAACAUGGGAUGGUCGGUUGAAUUGUUAUUGGGCCUACUAGUUGGUAAUUAUUGGGUCAUUGUGGCCAAUAUUUUUUACCGAUGAUUUGUGCAUUGCUGUAAAAUUGUGAGGCAUAUGUUAUAUAUAUAUAUAUAUAUAUAUAUAUAUGGGCUUGUCUGUGAUUGUAGUGGCCCAUAGUUUAUAUACAGGGGUGUGUAAUUUAUGUAUGGGCGGGGCCGAGAUUUAAUUGAGUAAUGAAAACGAUGUAUUUUGCGUAGGAAUCAUUGUUUUUUUGUAGUUAAACUUAUUGUGGAUUAAUGAUAUAGAUUUGGUUUGUGGCAUGCGUUACUAAUGUUUUUAUUUUUAUCGUGGUCUGUUUUUUUUUUUAAAUACGAAGUAGUUGUUUCAUAUUUCCAAAAAAGGAGCAAAGCAGAAGCGGCCCACUCUCCUAAAGUGACGUUGACAACUAUAAUGGGCAUAUUAAACAUGGCCCAUGAUAACUUUUAAUUGACAAGCAUAUCCAAUACAAUAUUAUAUCAACAAACAUGUGAGACUUUUUUAAAGAAGAGUCUAGCUGACAACAUGAAGAAAGAACAAUGUUGAGGUGGCAUGCUGUAAAGAGAGAAUGUUUUGAUUUAUUGAUAUAAAUUUUCAAGAUUCUCAGUUAAGCACUUGAAUAAGAAAAAGCAAAGCAGGUGUACAAAAUUAAAGUUUAUAGUGAAAACAAAAAAAAAUUCUACUCAAUGACUCACUCUAACUUUAAAAAUGAAAACAAUCUUAAUUAGGUAAACGUUUCAGUUACAAAAAAGC
Molecule: long non-coding RNA, 894 nt
Filed under: Brassica rapa (field mustard)
Lineage: Eukaryota; Viridiplantae; Streptophyta; Magnoliopsida; Brassicales; Brassicaceae
Description: long non-coding RNA (BRAP_LNC003423)
Source: RNAcentral